AUUCCUCUCUCACCCGAGAUCCAUGGUGACGACGUCGCUGCCGCGAUCUCCAAUUCGGCCUAGCUCCAGUGUUCUCCUGCGCCGUUACUCGCUGGCCCCAUCGCCCUGGCUCCCAUUGAGUGCUUCCUCUGAUCCUCCGCCGCCGUGACAUCCUGCACGCCCCUGUGCCCCUGCAGCAACCCUAACACCGACGUGUCUCCUGCUCCUCUGGUUUUUGCCGGUUCACCAACACAUGCGUCUUCGCGCAUGCAGCUGCUGCCACGGGCUCGACGGUGCUGCUCUGCCUCUGCUACCUCAACUGCGACGCCGAUGGUUCAAUCACGGCUGGAUACAACAACAACCGCGGCCACUCUCAACAUGGUGGCUUCCAUUAUUCUGUUUGGGAUUUGGUGCCCCAGAUUCUUAAACGUUCCACUUGUGCAUGGGUGACAAUUAGGUUUACACUUAUAGUAUAAAAUGCUACUUGACGUAAUGAGGUUGAGCAUUUGCGUGAGUGCCGCAACUUGGGAAGAUACAUAUGACCGGCAAUGAUGGCAGCAUGUUAAUGGCAUCAUGUAGGUGUGGUGUUCGAUCCCUUCUUUCUUUGUGUGUGUGUGUGUGGCGUGUAUAUAUGGAUUCGUCUUAAUAUGCCAUGUUAAUUGUUCAUUUAGAUUGAUCUCUUUUCCAGCACGUUUAUCCCAUAUAUUUGAUAUCUCUCUCCCAGCAGGUAAUUUCAUCUUGUAAUUUGCGUAAAUGUUUGUUCGUAUUGUGCAGUGGUAAUCUAUUUUAUUUCUCAAGAAUAUUAACUAUUGUUGCGUAUGAUUGCAGGAUAAUGCAUUAUGACAAUCGCUCUGUGCCUCUGCCUAUUCUUACACUCUGACUUCGGAAGUAUAAACCGAUGCGUAGGUUCAUAAGCUGAAUAGAACGUGAUGCGACAUGAUCCUGGAGUACAAGAGAUACAAACUUAGGCCAGUCUUGAUUUUAGCCUAUUGUUGUGAUAAUUCUAUAGAGUUUUUAUUUCUAAGAAAAGCUUGUGAAGAGGAGAUAAAAGGAUAUGAUAAGAACAAAUGUUACUAAGCUGUUAACUAAAAUCUGGUGCUAAGAUAUCUUAGUAUGAAGGUUGCUAUACUUACAUCAACCCUUCAUUUAAAUAUAAUUUAAUCAUGAGUUGUGCAGUCAACCAUAUGCCAGUACAGAACAAGUAACAUGUGUAUAGCUUGUUUGAUUUCAUUAGUAUUUCUCCUACUAAUUCUUACCGUGUCUUCUCUGAAUUUUUUAUAUUAUCCUCUCUUCAUAGUGAUAUGCACGCACAUGAGCAUGAUAGCUUAAGAUGGAUAAUUAUACCGUGAUCCUAAAGUCUACGUUUGCUUAUCUAUGUAUAAAUGUAAACAUGACCCAGUAUUGACAAGCAUAAGGUGUGUCUAAAUUUAUUAUUUCUUCCACACUUGGCACAAUCUGACAGCCAAUUGCAAUUGACAUUAUUAAUUGAAUAUGUUGUCGUGCAUUCGUUGUAGCAAGUUUACAAGAAUAUAGCUUCAACUAAUUUUAUUUCCUUUCAUGUUUUUCUUUUGCUUAUGUUUUCUGAAACUAAAUUUAUUGUCCAAGGUAGUAUACUUAACUAUUCGUAUUUACUUCAUUGCUAGCAGAAAGACCAAGAACGUGCAAUUUAUUAGAGCUGGAACUGGCAGAACCUAUCAUCAGGAUAUGGAGUUACAGAUGCCAAGAGAAGCUGAUCAUUUUGGUUUCAGUUAAUGAAGGGUGAACAUGUCAGUGUAGAUGCUCAUGUGAUGAGCUUAGGUUUUUGUUUUCCGGAAUGAAGCUGCGAUUUGUUUCCUUGUACAAUGCACAUGUUCUUGUUAAACACAUGUGUACAAGCUGAAGGUACAAUUUGUUGUCAACAAUUCCGUUCUGAUGGGCAAUACUUAGAGCAGAGCAUAUAUAUACACAUAUGUAUUAUUUUGAUGGUGUUCUUUGUAAACCAACAUUGUUGAUCUAAUAUACGAUGUCUUUCUUACUA
This is a non-coding RNA of Aegilops tauschii subsp. strangulata, 1996 nucleotides long. Lineage: Eukaryota; Viridiplantae; Streptophyta; Magnoliopsida; Poales; Poaceae. The record is from RefSeq and is a predicted model, not a curated record.